This 556-nucleotide ribosomal RNA is filed under the name Mugil cephalus (flathead mullet). RNAcentral's name for it is "partial 16S ribosomal RNA". It matches the Rfam family "Bacterial large subunit ribosomal RNA", at positions 589 to 1344 of the family's 2925-position model. Lineage: Eukaryota; Metazoa; Chordata; Actinopteri; Mugiliformes; Mugilidae. The record is from RNAcentral.
AGCUUAUCCCUCGUACCUUUUGCAUCAUGAUUUAGCUAGUAAUAGUCAAGCAAAAAGCAUUUUAGUUUGACCCCCCGAAACCAAGUGAGCUACUCCAAGACAACCUAAAUCUAGGGUAAACCCGUCUCUGUGGCAAAAGAGUGGGAAGAGCUUUGAGUAGGGGUGACAGACCUACCGAACUUGGUUAUAGCUGGUUGCUUGAAAAAUGAAUAGGAGUUCCGCUUCUUAAAUUCUUACCCCCCUCGAUUUUAUCCCCUAAUAACAGACAGCAGAAUAUCAAGAAAAUUAAGAAAGUUAAUCAAAGGGGGUACAGCCCCUUUGAAUCAAGGUACAACUUUUUAAGGAGGGUACAGAUCAUAUUUUACUUAAGGAACUUAUGCCUUGGUGGGCCUAAAAGCAGCCAUCCAACCAGAAAGCGUCAAAGCUCUAACAUUCCUUCCUCCCUAAUACUGAUAACAAGUCUUAGCCCCCUAACCAUAUCAAGCCGCUCCAUCGAAGCAUGGAAGUGAUUAUGCUAAAAUGAGUAAUAAGAGAAUACGUCUCUCUCCCCGCACAU